GUCGGGACGUUUUAUGACAGGCUCAGCGAGGGGAGGAGCGGGGCGGGCAGACGGCAGCAGCCCAAUUCAGGCUACGGAACGGUUUCCUGCGUACACCUGGAUCCACUCGCCAGCACUCAGCUACGCCGAGCCGUGCUCCACCGUCUUGUCUCCGCAGUUGGUGAGUGAGUUUGCUGGUUCUUCAUCGCCCGAGACAUGGACGGUCUACCGGACGAGCUUUUCCAGUGGAUCCUGUCGUACGUACCCUCGGCUCAGCUGUUGCCGCUCCGGUUGGUGUGCCGACGAUGGAGCCACGCCAUACUGGAGAAGGCUGUGUGGCAGCACCGCGAUCUGUGGGGGACAAAUGAUGAUGUUGGUGAUGAUUAUGAAGGGUUUUUCCCACGCAAGCAUUCGAAUGUCAACACGGGGCUUAUACGCACCAUCGUUCGACUUGUGCCAGCGGUUGGCCGCGUCUACCUGUACCUGAAGGCCGGCAGUACGGCAGGGGUGGCUGCGUUAGAAGCACUGGCCCGAGGAACCUG
Molecule: unclassified non-coding RNA, 521 nt
Filed under: Thrips palmi
Lineage: Eukaryota; Metazoa; Arthropoda; Insecta; Thysanoptera; Thripidae
Description: uncharacterized LOC117654308, transcript variant X5
Source: RNAcentral